CCUGGGCUCCUCAGCAUGGACUGCUACAUUAGAGAGGCCUUCUUGAAAGGAGAAGAAACAGUGUCAUGUUGUUUUUGUCAGGCUUUAUGAAACAGAUCACAGUGAGAGGAAAAAACAACAUGGGAAUAAUUUGUCCUUUGAGUUGGAAGAUACAAUGAAUUAUACCACAAAUGAAAUAUAUUUCACAAGAGAUUCAAACAUUGCAGCCUGGCUGCUCAUACAGUGGAAUCACAGUGACAUUAAGGAGAGUGUGACUCACUUAAGGCAGCAAGUUGCCCCAAUAGCUCAAACCAAAUGGUCUCAUUUCUACACGGAAUUCCACCUGUGUUAGGUCCCACCACUGUGUGCUACCAUGUAUUUGCUGAUGGAUCAAGGAAUCAUUAGUUAUCACAGAUCCCAUCCAAUGUAAUCAAGCAGGGAGGUUAACCAGUUAACCUCUUACACCUUCCAUUGCCUCAUGCUUCUUUGUGAUUCUGAGCUUGAAAUCUGGAAUUGUUCUCUGGUAUCCUGCAGACUACAUAGAUCCCAAACU
Long non-coding RNA from Corapipo altera (White-ruffed manakin), 532 nucleotides. RefSeq lists it as uncharacterized. Lineage: Eukaryota; Metazoa; Chordata; Aves; Passeriformes; Pipridae. The transcript has 3 exons. The record is from RefSeq and is a predicted model, not a curated record.